Molecule: ribosomal RNA, 499 nt
Filed under: uncultured bacterium
Lineage: Bacteria
Description: bacterial SSU rRNA
Rfam family: Bacterial small subunit ribosomal RNA
Source: RNAcentral
AACGAACGCUGGCGGCGCGCCUAAUACAUGCAAGUCGAGCGAGAAGACGUAGCAAUACGUUUGUAAAGCGGCGAACGGGUGAGGAAUACAUGGGUAACCUACCCUCGAGUGGGGAAUAACUAGCCGAAAGGUUAGCUAAUACCGCGUACGCUCCUUGGACUUCGGUUCAGGGAGGAAAGCGAUACCGUGGGUAUCGCGCUCUUGGAUGGGCUCAUGUCCUAUCAGCUUGUUGGUGAGGUAACGGCUCACCAAGGCUUCGACGGGUAGCUGGUCUGAGAGGACGAUCAGCCACACUGGCACUGCGACACGGGCCAGACUCCUACGGGAGGCAGCAGUAAGGAAUAUUGCGCAAUGGGCGAAAGCCUGACGCAGCGACGCCGCGUGGGGGAUGAAGGUCUUCGGAUUGUAAACCCCUUUCGGGAGGGAAGAUGGAACGAGCAAUCGUUCGGACGGUACCUCCAGAAGCAGCCACGGCUAACUUCGUGCCAGCAGCCGCCGC